GCCCUUGUAGUGAAACGGAUAUCAUUCAAAGUUUCGAACUUUGAGUUCUGGGUUCGAAUCCUGGCAAGGGCA
This 72-nucleotide transfer RNA is filed under the name bacterium. RNAcentral's name for it is "tRNA-Arg". It matches the Rfam family "tRNA". Rfam says of the family: Transfer RNA (tRNA) molecules are approximately 80 nucleotides in length. Their secondary structure includes four short double-helical elements and three loops (D, anti-codon, and T loops). Further hydrogen bonds mediate the characteristic L-shaped molecular structure. tRNAs have two regions of fundamental functional importance: the anti-codon, which is responsible for specific mRNA codon recognition, and the 3' end, to which the tRNAs corresponding amino acid is attached (by aminoacyl-tRNA synthetases). tRNAs cope with the degeneracy of the genetic code in two manners: having more than one tRNA (with a specific anti-codon) for a particular amino acid; and 'wobble' base-pairing, i.e. permitting non-standard base-pairing at the 3rd anti-codon position. The record is from RNAcentral.